Molecule: ribosomal RNA, 261 nt
Filed under: uncultured archaeon
Lineage: Archaea
Description: partial 16S ribosomal RNA
Rfam family: Archaeal small subunit ribosomal RNA
Source: RNAcentral
CAGCCGUAAACAAUGUGCGUUAGGUGUGUCGGUAACCACGCGUUACUGAUGCGCCGAAGAGAAAUCGUGAAACGCACCACCUGGGAAGUACGGUCGCAAGGCUGAAACUUAAAGGAAUUGGCGGGGGAGCACCACAGCAGGUGGAGCCUGCGGUUUAAUUGGAUUCAACGCCGGACAUCUCACCGGAUAAGACAGCUGAAUGAUUGUCAAUCUGAAGGCUUUACAUGACUAGCUGAGAGGAGGUGCAUGGCGUCAGUGACU